AAGACAUUGGUUUUCAAACACAUUUCCAAUUCUUAUUUAGUAGGAGGAACAGAAGACCCCAUACCUUAUCAGCAAUAAAUUAUUCUCCUGUUAAACUUGGUGCUAAACAAGGAGCUGCAGUCCUAUUAAAAUCCAAUUAAACAUGCAUCACAUUUGAUAGAUAUAAUUAGAACAACUGUAGAGGGUAAAUGGCUCCAAGCACUGUAGCUGGAAGAAAUGUAGAUCAGUGUUAAAAGGGAAAAUAAUAGACAAUAUGUUGGGGAUUUGUUGCUGUAAUGAUACCUUCUUUAUUGUAGCAAUUUUAUUUAUUACCUUUUAUCUAUUUUUAAUAGUUUCUCCAACUUGCUCGGAAAGGAUUGUUUUGCUUUCCUGUUUGUUCCCACUAAUAAGGAUACUAUGUAUGUCUGCUUUCAUUGGGUAAAUCAGACAGUGCAGGAAUAAAAUAGCAGAUCUUGCAAUAGUGCUCCAAAUCUUACAGUGCUAGAAAUAUUUUAAAGCAAUUUUUCAAGUUUUUAAUGUUCAUUCCUUAUUGUAUCAUAUACAAUUCAGACACAGAGCUAUUUGUCUUUCCCGCAAGGAUGCAAUCACUAGGAAUUACCAAUCUAGAGAAUGCAAGGAUUAGGCAGAUAUGUAGUCUUUGGAUACCUUAUUUUUUUCAUCUGUUCUUCCUCAAUAGCUAUAACAGCCUCUUUGCUGAAUCCUUCUCAGUGGUUCUUAGAAAUAGUGCAUAUGCCUCCUAUCCUAUUUUUUGUAAUCAAACUGUGGAAAAUAUAUUUGUUUGACUUUACAUGUGGUUAUAAACCAAAAGCUUCUUUUUUAUUGAGGUUAAAAAGAAAUGUUUCAAGCAGAACCAUGACCAGUGCAGAAUAUAUAUGGGUAAAAAAAAAUACAGUAAACAGAAGCAUAUAAAACAUAAAUAGAAUAUUAACCAUAAGCUUACUUGCACUGACUACCUAAUGUUAAAAUUAAAUAUUCAUAUUAUGAAUAUCAUGAGACAACUGGGACAAAUCAAAGGGGACACUGCUUGAACAUGUUUAUUUGUUUAUUCUCACGUGUUAAGUAACAGCUCAUUUUACCUAUUAAGUUUUACAAAACCAAAAUGUUAAAUCUUUCUUAAUUAUCCUUAUAAUUGCUGUUCCUGGUCUAUGAUCAUGAAUAUGGUCUUAGUAAAAUUAACAGUUCAUUAUUUGUAUAUCGAUUCAGUGAUAUAUCAUAUGGAAUUUUUAAAAAAAGAACAUAAAGAAUUUGGGCACUUGAAGACUUGAAAUUAGGACAUUAGCAUUGUCAUGGUCCCCUUUCUCUUUUAACCUGUUUCCCUACAAUUGACUUUCCUUUCUCCUACUGGGGGAUCAUUCCUUCCACAAAAUAGAACCAUAGUAGCUCUUAAAUAAUUCCAGCAUAGUUAGCCCAAAGGGGAGGGGAAAGUUUUCCUAUCAACUCCACAGGGAGAGAAUUUAGACCAGCCCUGAUUGGCACAAGUGUACAGUCAUUGUGACCAUGAUUAGCUCAAACCAUGUCCUAUGCCCACUCAUGAUUAAGGAGUAUGACUUACCUGGAAGUAGUGUUAGAAACUGGGAUGACAGAAAGGAAAAGCCAUGAUAUUAGGUCUGUUUUGUGAAGUUACUGCUGGCUAGGCUUUGAGACUUCCCUGUCUUCAUGGACCCUCUAGGCUUUCCAUGCACAUUCUACACUCAUGGACUUCUCACCUGUGGUUAACAGUGAGCAAACCCUUCCUGUUCCCUCAGUUGCAAGGGAAGGUGAAAAGAAAUGCAUUUUUUUUAACUAGGAUUUUUGUCUUUCUCAAUCCUAUUUCUUUCCCCGAUUCUCCAUAGAAUACCUUGUGCUUUACUGUUUUAUUCUCUAGUUGUACCUCUGUCCUUCUGUCUUCAAUAUAACAUUUCUAUAGUACAACCUUUUCACUGCAACAUUAAUAAAUAUAUGAUUAUAUUACUUUGCAUAACUUCAUUAUGCAAAGCAAUGUUAAGCAGAAGUGACA
RNAcentral lists this long non-coding RNA (1996 nucleotides) under Marmota monax (woodchuck). The record is from RNAcentral. Lineage: Eukaryota; Metazoa; Chordata; Mammalia; Rodentia; Sciuridae.